AGAUUGCAGGCUGCAACCCGCCUGCAUGAAGUCGGAAUUGCUAGUAAUCGCGGAUCAGCAUGCCGCGGUGAAUACGUUCCCGGGCCUUGUACACACCGCCCGUCACACCAUGGGAGCCGGUAAUACCCGAAGUCCGUAGUCCAACCUCGUGAGGACGCUGCCGAAGGUAGGAUUGGCGACUGGGGUGAAGUCGUAACAAGGUACC
This 205-nucleotide ribosomal RNA is filed under the name uncultured bacterium. RNAcentral describes it as "partial 16S ribosomal RNA". It matches the Rfam family "Bacterial small subunit ribosomal RNA", at positions 1295 to 1500 of the family's 1533-position model. The record is from RNAcentral.